Long non-coding RNA from Catharus ustulatus (Swainson's thrush), 125 nucleotides. RefSeq lists it as uncharacterized. The transcript has 2 exons. The record is from RefSeq and is a predicted model, not a curated record. NCBI's taxonomy places the organism in Eukaryota, Metazoa, Chordata, Aves, Passeriformes, Turdidae.
CCCGCCCGCCGGCCAAGGUGCCCUCCCGGCCGUACCCACCUGCGGCGGCCGGCCCGCUCCUGCCCCGGGGCCGGGCACAGGUACAAAAGUCUUGUUCAACACCAACAGAAACUACGGCUGAUGAA